Molecule: ribosomal RNA, 31 nt
Filed under: uncultured bacterium
Lineage: Bacteria
Description: partial 16S ribosomal RNA
Source: RNAcentral
CGUUAAUCGGAAUUAUUGGGCGUAAAAGGUG